Molecule: ribosomal RNA, 497 nt
Filed under: uncultured bacterium
Lineage: Bacteria
Description: partial 16S ribosomal RNA
Rfam family: Bacterial small subunit ribosomal RNA
Source: RNAcentral
GAUGAACGCUGGCGGCGUGCCUAAUACAUGCAAGUCGAGCGAACGGACGAGAAGCUUGCUUCUCUGAUGUUAGCGGCGGACGGGUGAGUAACACGUGGAUAACCUACCUAUAAGACUGGGAUAACUUCGGGAAACCGUAGCUAAUACCGGAUAAUAUUUUGAACCGCAUGGUUCAAAAGUGAAAGACGGUCUUGCUGUCACUUAUAGAUGGAUCCGCGCUGCAUUAGCUAGUUGGUAAGGUAACGGCUUACCAAGGCAACGAUGCAUAGCCGACCUGAGAGGAGGAGCGGCCACACUGGAACUGAGACACGGUCCAGACUCCUACGGGAGGCAGCAGUAGGGAAUCUUCCGCAAUGGGCGAAAGCCUGACGGAGCAACGCCGCGUGAGUGAUGAAGGUCUUCGGAUCGUAAAACUCUGUUAUUAGGGAAGAACAUAUGUGUAAGUAACUGUGCACAUCUUGACGGUACCUAAUCAGAAAGCCACGGCUAACUACGUG